CCUACGGGAGGCAGCAGUGAGGAAUAUUGGUCAAUGGACGAGAGCCUGAACCAGCCACGCAGCGUGAAGGAUGAAUGCCCUAUGGGUUGUAAACUUCUUUUAUAUGGGAAUAAAAUGUUCCACGUGUGGGAUUUUGUAUGUACCAUAUUAAUAAGGAUCGGCUAACUCCGUGCCAGCAGCCGCGGUAAUACGGAGGAUCCGAGCGUUAUCCGGAUUGAUUGGGUUGAAAGGGUGCGUAGGUGGAUUGUUAAGUCAGGUGUGAAAGUUUGCGGGUCAACCGUAAAAUUGCAGUUGAUACUGGCUGUCUGGAGUACAGUAGAGGUGGGCGGAAUUCGUGGUGUAGCGGUGAAAUGCGUAGAUAUUACGAAGAACUCCGAUUGCGAAGGCAGCUUACUGGACUGCAACUGACACUGAGGCUCGAAAGCGUGGGGAUCAAACAGGAUUAGAUACCCUAGUAGUC
Molecule: ribosomal RNA, 460 nt
Filed under: uncultured bacterium
Lineage: Bacteria
Description: partial 16S ribosomal RNA
Rfam family: Bacterial small subunit ribosomal RNA
Source: RNAcentral